This 157-nucleotide small RNA is filed under the name pig gut metagenome. RNAcentral's name for it is "Clostridiales-1 RNA". It matches the Rfam family "Clostridiales-1 RNA". The record is from RNAcentral.
GAUUACAGUGUCAAAAGAUAUUCUCCACGUCAUGCUUGCAUGUAAGUGGAGGUAUACCUUAUUGACCCGCCCCACAUGAGCAAGAAGUGGGGCGGGGGCCCCAUGGAUUGCGAAUGCGGGGCAGGAUUGUGGGAGUGCGUAGCACGAAACAAUCCGU